RNAcentral lists this ribosomal RNA (253 nucleotides) under uncultured bacterium. RNAcentral describes it as "partial 16S ribosomal RNA". It matches the Rfam family "Bacterial small subunit ribosomal RNA", at positions 524 to 776 of the family's 1533-position model. The record is from RNAcentral.
UACGUAGGGACCAAGCGUUGUUCGGAUUUACUGGGCGUAAAGGGCGCGUAGGCGGCAUGACAAGUCACUUGUGAAAUCUCCGGGCUUAACUCGGAACGGCCAAGUGAUACUGUCAAGCUAGAGUGCAGAAAGGGCAAUCGGAAUUCUUGGUGUAGCGGUGAAAUGCGCAGAUAUCAGGAGGAACACCGAUGGCGAAGGCAGGUCUCUGGGCCAUAACUGACGCUGAGAAGCGAAAGCAUGGGGAGCGAACAGG